CAGACGUGAGUACCCGCUG
This 19-nucleotide ribosomal RNA is filed under the name Hoplolaimus columbus. RNAcentral's name for it is "partial 28S ribosomal RNA". Lineage: Eukaryota; Metazoa; Nematoda; Chromadorea; Rhabditida; Hoplolaimidae. The record is from RNAcentral.